This 454-nucleotide ribosomal RNA is filed under the name uncultured Prevotella sp. Its description in RNAcentral is "partial 16S ribosomal RNA". It matches the Rfam family "Bacterial small subunit ribosomal RNA", at positions 341 to 792 of the family's 1533-position model. The record is from RNAcentral. Lineage: Bacteria; Pseudomonadati; Bacteroidota; Bacteroidia; Bacteroidales; Prevotellaceae.
ACGGGAGGCAGCAGUGAGGAAUAUUGGUCAAUGGGCGAGAGCCUGAACCAGCCAAGUAGCGUGAAGGAUGACUGCCCUAUGGGUUGUAAACUUCUUUUGUUCGGGAAUAAAGUGCGGGACGUGUCCCGCUUUGCAUGUACCGUUCGAAUAAGCAUCGGCUAAUUCCGUGCCAGCAGCCGCGGUAAUACGGAAGAUGCGAGCGUUAUCCGGAUUUAUUGGGUUUAAAGGGAGCGUAGGCCGUGCUUUAAGCGUGUUGUGAAAUGUAGGCGCCCAACGUCUGCACUGCAGCGCGAACUGGAGCACUUGAGUACGCAGGAAGUAGGCGGAAUUCGUCGUGUAGCGGUGAAAUGCUUAGAUAUGACGAAGAACUCCGAUUGGGAAGCCAGCUUACUGUAGCGCCACUGACGCUGAUGCUCGAAAGCGUGGGUAUCGAACAGGAUUAGAUACCCUGGUA